Bos taurus (domestic cattle) is the source of this 1008-nucleotide long non-coding RNA. Lineage: Eukaryota; Metazoa; Chordata; Mammalia; Artiodactyla; Bovidae. The record is from Ensembl.
AAAACCGCAGGUGCUUCCUGUAAGGAGCUGACUUUGGAGGCCUCGCUGAUCUUGGGUUGGAAAUAGGGAUCGAUCCCUAUUCAUUUCUACUAUUUCCUUAGCUGACACUCUUGAAAAACAACCGGUGACUCAGAGAAGCUCUUUUGAGUUCUCGAGCUGAAAAGUCCAGGGGCGGUCUUUGGAAAUAAGGAGACACCGGUUUGGUCCCUGGUCUGGGAAGAUCCCACAUGCCAAGGAGCAACUAAACCUGCACGCCACAACCACUGAGCCUGUGCGCUAGAGCCCGGGAACCCCAACCACUGAGCCUACUUGGCUGCAACUAGUGAAGCCCGAGCACCCGAGAGCCCGUGCUCUGCAGCAAGAGAAGUCACUUCAAUGAGAAGCCUGCACCCUGCACCUAGAGAGUAGCCCCCACUCGCCAUGACCAGAGAAAACCCACGCAUGGCAAGGAAGCGCAGCUAAAAAUAAAAAGGCUGCUGCUGCUGCUAAGUUGCUUCAGUAGUGUCCAACUCUGCGUGACCCCAUAGAUGGCAGCCCACCAGGCUCCCCCGUCCCUGGGAUUCUCCAGGCAAGAACACUGGUGCGGGUUGCCAUUUCCUUCUCCAAUGCAUGAAAGUGAAAAGUGAAAGUGAAGUCGCUCAGUCGUGUCUGACUCUUAACGACCCCAUGGACUGCAGCCCACCAGGCUCCUCCGUCCAUGGGAUUUUCCAGGCAAGAGUACUGGAGUGGGUCACCAUUGCCUUCUCUGAAAUACCUCUAAUUCCCUCCAUGACUUCUCAAUAUAUUUACAAGCUUCCAGAACCUUCAUUAACCCAGCUACCUUUCCCAGGUAAACUGUGUGCUGUCAGUGUGUGCUCAGUGACUCUGAGUGGUCUAACCAGGACAGACAUCCCCAGACUAUCACUUUCUCUGAUCUGGAAUCCUGAAGGCACCCGAUGUACCUCCUCUGAUUGUAUAUCCACCCUGCCAUCUACAUUUUUGGAGCUCAUUAGCUCAUUCCAUAAAUAC